AUGGUCUCAGACAUCACACAAGCCUUCCAGAAAGAACCCAUCUGCCUCUUCUGUCUGAACUAACUCAUAGACCCCAUCACCACAGGCUGCGGCCCCAGCUUCUGUAGGCCUUUCCUGUCUCUGCCUUUCCUGGGAAGAAGCCAAAAUUCCUACCGGCUGCCCACAUGCGGGGAACUGUCACAGCAGGAGGACGUCAAAACUAAUAUUCUUCUGGAGAUUCCAGUGUUCAUUGCCAUAAAAGCCAGUCUCUGGCAAUUCCUGAGCUCUAAUGAACAAAUGUGUGGGAUCCACAGGGAGAAAAAAAGAUAUUGGAGCGGUGGAUAAGAGCCUGCUUCAUUUGCUGUUCUGGAACACUCGGGAACACUGGGCUCCCAGACACUGUGAGGGGCAACUAAGGAACACUGGGAGACGAUAAUGAAGCAAAUGAGAUCUUUUUGGGAAAAAAUUCAAGAAAACCAAAGAAAGCUAAAUGAGGAGAGCAGGAAAACCAACCAGUGGGAGUGAGUCAGAGCAGCGGCACAUGCCCCAGUGUGUGAGCUCAGAGCUCAGUGCUCAACCCAUCACUGGACUAAUGGACAGAUUUCAUGACUUCCAGGUGAGUGUC
This 604-nucleotide long non-coding RNA is filed under the name Homo sapiens (human). Its description in RNAcentral is "non-protein coding lnc-OR4C12-8:1". Lineage: Eukaryota; Metazoa; Chordata; Mammalia; Primates; Hominidae. The record is from RNAcentral.